Molecule: ribosomal RNA, 156 nt
Filed under: Anopheles sinensis
Lineage: Eukaryota; Metazoa; Arthropoda; Insecta; Diptera; Culicidae
Description: 5.8S ribosomal RNA
Rfam family: 5.8S ribosomal RNA
About the family: 5.8S ribosomal RNA (5.8S rRNA) is a component of the large subunit of the eukaryotic ribosome.
Source: Rfam by way of RNAcentral
CACCCUCGGCAGGGGAUCACUCGGCUCAUGGAUCGAUGAAGACCGCAGCUAAAUGCGCGUCAUAAUGUGAACUGCAGGACACAUGAACAUUGAUAAGUUGAACGCAUAUUGCACGUCGUGGGAACCUACCUAUGACGUACACAUACUUGAGCGCUU